UACGGAGGGGGCUAGCGUUGUUCGGAAUCAUUGGGCGUAAAGCGCGUGUAGGUGGCUUGGCAAGUCGGUUGUGAAAUCCCGGGGCCCAACCCCGGAACUGCAUUCGAAACUGCCUCGCUAGAGUCCCGGAGAGGAAGGCGGAAUUCCCGGUGUAGAGGUGAAAUUCGUAGAUAUCGGGAGGAACACCAGCGGCGAAGGCGGCCUUCUGGACGGUGACUGACACUGAGACGCGAAAGCGUGGGGAGCAAACACG
This 253-nucleotide ribosomal RNA is filed under the name uncultured bacterium. RNAcentral's name for it is "partial 16S ribosomal RNA". It matches the Rfam family "Bacterial small subunit ribosomal RNA", at positions 524 to 776 of the family's 1533-position model. The record is from RNAcentral.